GGCGAGUGAGCGGUAACAGCUCAAAUUUGAAAUCUGGGUCUUUCAGGCUCCGAGUUGUAAUUUGUAGAAGAUGCUUCGGGUGCGGCUCCGGUCUAAGUUCCUUGGAACAGGACGUCAUAGAGGGUGAGAAUCCCGUAUGUGAUCGGUUGCUUGCGCCCAUGUGAAGCUCUUUCGACGAGUCGAGUUGUUUGGGAAUGCAGCUCAAAAUGGGUGGUAAAUUUCAUCUAAAGCUAAAUAUUGGCCAGAGACCGAUAGCGCACAAGUAGAGUGAUCGAAAGAUGAAAAGCACCUUGGAAAGAGAGUUAAACAGUACGUGAAAUUGUUGAAAGGGAAGCGCUUGCAACCAGACUUGCGCGUUGCCGAUCAUCCGGGGUUCUCCCCGGUGCACUCGGCCUCGCUCAGGCCAGCAUCGGUUUUGGUGGUGGGAUAAAGGCCUUGGGAAUGUAGCUCCUUUCGGGGAGUGUUAUAGCCCUCGGUGCAAUGCCGCCUACCGGGACCGAGGACCGCGCUUCGGCUAGGAUGCUGGCGUAAUGGUUGUAAGUGAC
Molecule: ribosomal RNA, 545 nt
Filed under: uncultured fungus
Lineage: Eukaryota; Fungi
Description: eukaryotic LSU rRNA
Rfam family: Eukaryotic large subunit ribosomal RNA
Source: RNAcentral